CUGUCACUUACAGAUGGGCCCGCGGCGCAUUAGCUAGUUGGUGAGGUAACGGCUCACCAAGGCCACGAUGCGUAGCCGACCUGAGAGGGUGAUCGGCCACACUGGGACUGAGACACGGCCCAGACUCCUACGGGAGGCAGCAGUAGGGAAUCUUCCGCAAUGGACGAAAGUCUGACGGAGCAACGCCGCGUGAGUGAUGAAGGUUUUCGGAUCGUAAAACUCUGUUGUUAGGGAAGAACAAGUAUCGGAGUAACUGCCGGUACCUUGACGGUACCUAACCAGAAAGCCACGGCUAACUACGUGCCAGCAGCCGCGGUAAUACGUAGGUGGCAAGCGUUGUCCGGAAUUAUUGGGCGUAAAGCGCGCGCAGGUGGUUCCUUAAGUCUGAUGUGAAAGCCCACGGCUCAACCGUGGAGGGUCAUUGGAAACUGGGGAACUUGAGUGCAGAAGAGGAAAGUGGAAUUCCAAGUGUAGCGGUGAAAUGCGUAGAGAUUUGGAGGAACACCAGUGGCGAAGGCGACUUUCUGGUCUGUAACUGACACUGAGGCGCGAAAGCGUGGGGAGCGAACAGGAUUAGAUACCCUGGUAGUCCACGCCGUAAACGAUGAGUGCUAAGUGUUAGAGGGUUUCCGCCCUUUAGUGCUGCAGCAAACGCAUAAGCA
RNAcentral lists this ribosomal RNA (662 nucleotides) under Cytobacillus horneckiae. RNAcentral's name for it is "bacterial SSU rRNA". It matches the Rfam family "Bacterial small subunit ribosomal RNA", at positions 212 to 866 of the family's 1533-position model. The record is from RNAcentral. Lineage: Bacteria; Bacillati; Bacillota; Bacilli; Caryophanales; Bacillaceae.